AUGGAGUCAGAACUCCGUCCUGAUCCCACCCGUGCCAUUCCCUCUUUCAGAGACGACCGGACCCGUGAGCCCCAACGCCGGUGCCCCUUCUCUGUUCGCCAACGCCGCCAUCAGCUCGUCCUCUCCCUGGUGCGUGUGAACCCCCUGGUCGGGUGCGUCACCGUCUUCCGCACCCUCCGUUGGCCGGAGCUCGGCCGGAGCCCAUCGGAGCCGGCCGGGACAUCGCCGGCCAAGCCCAGCCGUGCCUCUGCCUCGCCCCGCUCUCUGUUUCUGACGGGCGCGAGCGAGAAGAAGGAGCGGGAGGAGAGAGAAAGGAGUGGGACCCACCCGUCAGCCACACGCGCCGCCAGCCCCACCAUUGCCCACGUGGAUAAGUGGCCGCGCUCUCUCGCGAGUUCGUUUUCCCGUGAGUAA
This 414-nucleotide ribosomal RNA is filed under the name Triticum aestivum (bread wheat). RNAcentral's name for it is "partial small subunit ribosomal RNA". The record is from RNAcentral. Lineage: Eukaryota; Viridiplantae; Streptophyta; Magnoliopsida; Poales; Poaceae.